RNAcentral lists this ribosomal RNA (158 nucleotides) under Gigaspora margarita. RNAcentral's name for it is "5.8S ribosomal RNA". It matches the Rfam family "5.8S ribosomal RNA". From Rfam's summary of the family: 5.8S ribosomal RNA (5.8S rRNA) is a component of the large subunit of the eukaryotic ribosome. It is transcribed by RNA polymerase I as part of the 45S precursor that also contains 18S and 28S rRNA. The record is from RNAcentral. Lineage: Eukaryota; Fungi; Glomeromycota; Glomeromycetes; Diversisporales; Gigasporaceae.
AAACUUUCAACAAUGGAUCUCUUGGCUCUCGCAUCGAUGAAGAACGCAGCGAAAUGCGAUAAGUAAUAUGAAUUGCAGAAUUUCGUGAAUCAUCAAAUCUUUGAACGCAAAUUGCACUUCUUGGUAUUCCGAGGAGUACACAUGCUUGAGGGUCAGUU